UAAACAGUGUUUAAUUGUCUUGUUUUACAUUAAAUUUCUUUUAUUCUUUUUCUAAUUUGCUGUAGAACUUCACCUUCGAAUGUGCAUGGCAACUCUCUCAGGUUUAUUGAGACACUCGCAAGAUCCUCAGUGAAGGGAAGGUCAGGACUGUGGGAGAAAUGAACCCAGAUGACAAACUGAAGUCCAAAUUUCCAGCAAGGUAUCUUUCUGAGCUGCUGGCACCACAAGUGUUUCAGAAAAGCAACAGCAGCCCUUCAAGAGCCCUGCAAACCUUCCAGCACCUUGAAAACCUGUCAUGCCUCUUUGGCUUCUCAGAGUUUAAUAAAGCUUGAUUUGUGUUGAAAACUCCAAGUGAAACCAGGUCAAAGAUUUUGACUGGGAUCUCUGCAGUUCUCCUCACACCU
RNAcentral lists this long non-coding RNA (404 nucleotides) under Manacus vitellinus (golden-collared manakin). Its description in RNAcentral is "lncRNA (ENSMVIG00005003501.1)". Lineage: Eukaryota; Metazoa; Chordata; Aves; Passeriformes; Pipridae. The record is from RNAcentral.